GCAAUGCCGCGUGCAGGACGAAGGCCUUCGGGUUGUAAACUGCUUUUGUACGGAACGAAACGGUCUCUUCUAAUAAAGGAGGCUAAUGACGGUACCGUAAGAAUAAGCACCGGCUAACUACGUGCCAGCAGCCGCGGUAAUACGUAGGGUGCGAGCGUUAAUCGGAAUUACUGGGCGUAAAGCGUGCGCACGCGGUUAUAUAAGACAGAUGUGAAAUCCCCGGUCUCAGACUGGGACCUGCCUUUGUGACUGUAUAAUUAGAAUAUGGUANACUCCCAUGCUUUUCCCCGUUUGUCAAAGGCAGGCUCAUUAAAGUGCCCAAAUAACUGUANCAACUAAUGACCCCUGUUGCUCUCGUUGCGCUAAUUAACCCAACAUCUCACGACACAAGCUGAUAAAUACCAUGCUGCACCUGUGUUAAAGUUCUCUUUCAAGCACUAAGCCNUCUCUGGCAAAUUCCGUAGAUGUUAAA
RNAcentral lists this ribosomal RNA (472 nucleotides) under Rhodoferax sp. RNAcentral describes it as "bacterial SSU rRNA". It matches the Rfam family "Bacterial small subunit ribosomal RNA", at positions 391 to 804 of the family's 1533-position model. Lineage: Bacteria; Pseudomonadati; Pseudomonadota; Betaproteobacteria; Burkholderiales; Comamonadaceae. The record is from RNAcentral.